Molecule: ribosomal RNA, 349 nt
Filed under: uncultured fungus
Lineage: Eukaryota; Fungi
Description: SSU rRNA
Rfam family: Eukaryotic small subunit ribosomal RNA
Source: RNAcentral
GUAGUCAUAUGCUUGUCUCAAAGAUUAAGCCAUGCAUGUCUAAGUAUAAGCAAUUUAUACAGUGAAACUGCGAAUGGCUCAUUAAAUCAGUUAUCGUUUAUUUGAUAGUACCUUUACUACUUGGAUAACCGUGGUAAUUCUAGAGCUAAUACAUGCUAAAAAUCCCGACUUCUGGAAGGGAUGUAUUUAUUAGAUAAAAAAUCAAUGCUCUUCGGAGCUCUUUGAUGAUUCAUAAUAACUUUUCGAAUCGCAUGGCCUUGUGCUGGCGAUGGUUCAUUCAAAUUUCUGCCCUAUCAACUUUCGAUGGUAGGAUAGUGGCCUACCAUGGUUUCAACGGGUAACGGGGAAU